This 72-nucleotide transfer RNA is filed under the name Porolithon onkodes. RNAcentral describes it as "tRNA-Asn". It matches the Rfam family "tRNA". From Rfam's summary of the family: Transfer RNA (tRNA) molecules are approximately 80 nucleotides in length. Their secondary structure includes four short double-helical elements and three loops (D, anti-codon, and T loops). Further hydrogen bonds mediate the characteristic L-shaped molecular structure. tRNAs have two regions of fundamental functional importance: the anti-codon, which is responsible for specific mRNA codon recognition, and the 3' end, to which the tRNAs corresponding amino acid is attached (by aminoacyl-tRNA synthetases). tRNAs cope with the degeneracy of the genetic code in two manners: having more than one tRNA (with a specific anti-codon) for a particular amino acid; and 'wobble' base-pairing, i.e. permitting non-standard base-pairing at the 3rd anti-codon position. The record is from RNAcentral. Lineage: Eukaryota; Rhodophyta; Florideophyceae; Corallinales; Porolithaceae.
UCCUUAGUAGCUCAGUGGUAGAGCAAUCGGCUGUUAACCGAUCGGUCGUAGGUUCAAAUCCUACCUGAGGAG